Molecule: long non-coding RNA, 1755 nt
Organism: Prinia subflava (tawny-flanked prinia)
Lineage: Eukaryota; Metazoa; Chordata; Aves; Passeriformes; Cisticolidae
Exons: 3
Source: RefSeq, a predicted model, not a curated record
CUUGGAUCAGCCAGUGCUCAUGUAAUUUAUGGGCAUCAGUUUCUGAAUUAAUAACAUUCUCCUAUUACAAGAAUGCACUUGUACACCUGUAGUCAGGGACUUAAGGCUGAUCUGUUCCUAUCGGUGGGACAAGUGUCUGUCCUUGGGUUCUCUGAUGAUCCAGAAUCUGUCUCAGGCUGAAAGUACAGAGGGCAUGAUGGACUGGGUGAUUUGCUCUGGAGAUCUGGUCAUUCAUGGUAGGGGAGCUACACGUACAGCAGUUUUAAAAUGUCCUUUCUCUGUGCAUUACACAGAUUAGUUUUUACAUUCUUUCUGGAGCUUCUUCCCAAGAGGAUGUGCUCUCUCUCCUAGCCGGAAUCAGUGGAACAGAUCAGUCCUCCAGCAGAACUGUUUCCAUGUGAUCCUACAGUGUAGGUGCUGCACAGCACAGUGAUGUGCACCCAGGUUUUACAGCCGUGAGAAGAUGAACUCAGUUCCCUCAGGACAUACAUGGUGUAAACACUACUUUCUGCCUUUUGACACUCUCUCAGUAUUUACUCACCUCCAGAAGCUCCACCUAGGACUGAAGUCAGAAUCACAUGGGAGGAUGAAGUUAUGUGUGAUAUUGUAGAUGAAAAUGCAUCUGGGAAGGAAAGUAAAUACUUCUACAUUUGCCCUGUCAUAUUUCCAUAGUGUCUCUUUUCCCUUGCAGCCUGUGCUCAGUACCAGGCUGAGCAGCUCUGGCAACUAAAUAAAUCUUGAAGAUUUUAGGGUUCUCAUCUCCCCAGCAAAUAUCUGACCUUUGGGUUGCCUAAAGAUGCCACGGAGGCAACACACCAGUAAGCAACUCCGUCCUCCAUCUGCCUCCAGCUCCUCUCUCCCUGUUCGGAUACCCCCCAUGGCUCAGAAACAAUAAACUUUCACUCUUUGUAAUGCAAAUGGCUUCAAAGGCUACUUUGUUGCCAUAAAACAAUUUGAACAAGCUUUCGAGCCUUUCAGGGUAUUCUUACCCUUCCAGCAGAACUCAGCUCCGGUUUCACAACUGCCUUGUCUUAUGCCAUUAAUGAGGGACAAACGGUCAAGGCAGGGUUGGGAGGGGGUACUGCUGCCUCGUUUAAAAGCAUGUCUGCUCUGUGCCUACAGCAGCUGAACAUGUAAUGACAGCGACAGAGGGCUGACAGCUACUGAGAGCAAGCUCCAGCUGGAUUUUCAUCGUUUUGAGCAGUGCUGUCCUGCCUUACUUUGGAGAUGAGUGGAUGUUUUAAGGCUUAAGCAAAAAGCCCUGCCUGAUCUUUACUUUUCCUAGACUCAGAGUCUUGGAGCUAUCUGUUAAAGGACCACUGCGAAGAUACAGUUCCAGACAAGCAUCCUCUGGACUUUGUCUAUCCACAGCUCCUGAUCUCAUACUCUGCUACUGAAUUUCAUGGCAAAACACCUCUGACAUCAGAAGAAAACGUUGGAUUUGGGAUGGAUAUGCACAGUGAACAGCUGAUAUUCGUGCACAACAAUAUGUUGACCUUAUGCUUCCAGACAAGCAAAAGAUGGAUAAAUAGGUUGGUCAGCUGCUUUUCAAGGAGCUAGUGUGACUGAUACAUAAUCAAUGAAGAAGUUAAUAACAAUAACUAUAAAAAUACUUGGAGAGAACUCAUGACAGUUAUAAAAGAAAAAUACACCAUUGCUUUUGUUUCAUUUGCUUCAGAAAUGAGUGCACAUGAAAUUCUCUUCCACUCUCCAUUAAACAACUGUUUGGUCUCCAAUCUUUGGAGUUAAUGAGCA